GGGCAGGGGGCGGCCGGGAGCCCCGGCGGCCGUGGGCGUUGUGGCGGUAGCGCCCCUGCCCGCCCUCCCCCGUCCCGGGGCGAGCGGCGCUGGAGGCGGCAGAUGGAGUGGGGUUGUGGCGGGUCUCCUGCCCUCUAACAAAAGCUCACCCGCAGUGAAUCAAAAUCAAGGUGAAACCUCUUCUCAUGCAACUUGUACCUGUUGCCACUUGUCUGCUCUCUGUGCCUCCCAGUGAAGAGAAAAUCUUCAUCUUUUUUGCAGCCGUGCAGGAAAUGAAAAUCCAAUAGCAGAAGAUCUGAAGAGGAGAGAUCAGAAUCUGGUCACUGCUUUCCCUCUCAAAGGAACUUUCAUGAAAGCAUUAUAUGAAAGUCGGCAUUAAGCAUGAUCUUGAACUAGUAGGAUGCACUGAUAAAAGAAUCCAGCUAUCUAAAAAGGGUCAACUUGGUCAUUAUUGCCUGGUAGGUAUAUAGGCAAAAGUGCUGACCAACCUUUGAAAUGAUAAUAAGUUUCUUUUGUCAUGGACAAAGCUUUUCACCUUAAAUAGACAGGAAGUCUUCUAACACAGUAGAAUUUUAAUAAAGCUCAAUCUGGAGCAAAACCAACUCAAAAUUAUUUCUGUUGCUUUUACUAUAAAUGAAGCAAAUGCUUAAAAUAUUUUUAAAAGCUGUCCAGAAAAAAAUAAGCCUUUUUAACAUCAAGAUGGAAGCAGGGGGAAUGCUCUCCUUCCUUUCUGUGUACACCCUUCAUUUCCAUUGUAUUUAUUUUAUCACUCAAUAUAUGGUGGAGAUUGUAAGCUGAAAGGGGAAAUGAAAGCACUAAGAAAAAAAAAUAAACAAGUUUGCAAAAACACUCACUAAAUAUAGCUGUAGGAGCUAAAGGAUUCAAGUGGAAUUUCAGUAUUCACCAAAAGACUGAAAAGACUGAGAUUUUCAAAACCUUACAUGUUUUUCUACCAAUUAUUUGCUCAGUUCUGGUUUUUAACUGAUUCAGCCAGAACUUCAUCAAAUUACAUUAGUUUUAGAAGUUUAGAGACUUCAUCUUCUGCCCAGUUGUUAUCAAGAGGAUUUCUUAAUAUCAAAUAUCUAUAUUUCUUAAUAGAAAAGACUUUGUCUGUAGUCUAUAUCUAAAGACUAGUGACAGAAAAAGAAAAGCUAUGGCAUGACCAUAACUGAAUAAACUCACUGUGUUCAUAGACCACAUUGUGAAGAUCUACUCUUUGUUGCUAGGUAAGUUAUAUCUCUAUUUACAGCUUUUUCAAAAGGCUGAAUAGUCAGGGACAUUUUGUAAUUUGAGAUGGAGUCCUAAGCUCUAGUGAGAGAGAUGUGCUCUUCCUGGACUGCACAAAAUAGAGCAGUUACACAAGGUGGUAUAGAGGAGAGGGGAAUUUUAAGCAAUACUGAUCAUUCAAACAGAAACUACAUUAAAAAGACAGAUACAUUCAGCCCACCCUUCUACAAAAACACAUCUGUUCCCACCGCUAGCUCCACAAUUAACACAUAGACUGAUUCAACACUAAGAAUUAUAAAUUGCUGUAUUCUCUCAGUUCCAAUGAAGUGAUGAAGAAAAUGGGCACUUUUGGACAUCAAAGGUGUUAAACGAAAUGACACCUUAGAAGUGUUUACUUUCCCCAAAUCAAAGUCAGCUGCUUUCCUGAUGCAUAAUAAGUUUUUAACUAGGAUGCCAAAUAACACUAGAAGAAAAAUUCAAAAUUAUACUGCAAUAGGAGGAGAUUCAGUUCAAACUAUACUUUAUAUUCUCAUUUAUGACAUGAGAAAUCAGGAUUUAUUUGAAAUGUAGUGCUCAUUCACAGCUUUGCCACAGAUAAGGAGAAAAGGCAACAAAAAUUGUGACUCAGAAUGAAAUCCAGCCACACUGCAGUCAGUGGCAAAACUCUUAGAGAUCUUAGUGUGAUUUUGUCUCAAGUAUUUUCUUGGUUCCUGAGGGAGGGGCAAUUAAAAUAAUAAUAAAGACAAAGAGAAAAUCUUCAGUGCCAUAACUUGCCUGCAGGCUGUAGCUUUUAGAGCAUAUUUUCACAACAGCUGAAGCAGGAUCUUUAGGGUAGUGCCAUCUGAAAACCAGAGACGUUUAAUUUGUGUAAACAAAAAAUAGAUUACAUAGAAGUAGGUAUUACUAAGCUGAGAGAAGAUGCACAGCAAUCCAGCUGUAUUGGACCCAAAACAGAUCUUCCCUCAGUCUGUGCUGAGCUGUGUGCAGACCCCAGCACCCUCUGAAUUAAAAUGCACCUCUGUACAACACAGCCUUGCAGGGAGCCAGCGUGCCUUUCGUUGGCUUGCAGGGUAUGGAUGCAGAGCUGAGGUGUGCUUCAGAUUGGUUUUCCCCAUGUGCUGCAGGCACCACCUCUCUCCACAGCAGCCAAGUCAUGUCUCAAGCCUUUCUCCAGAGCAGGUGAUGUGGAGUUUUGAGUCCAUUCCCAUCCUGUGACUUUAAAGGAACAAAAUGCAGAUGUCUGCUACUCAAUUCAAGUCUGAAAUAGACUUUUUGUAUUUAAACUGCCAUUUGCAAGGGAAGCCAUAUUUUACUUUCCUGGUGCAAGAAUUAACAAAAAAAAAAUUGCCAAACCAAACCCAAUGUAUACUGCAUUGUCAUCUAAAUUAAUCCCCUGUCAUACAGUUAUAGUCUCAUUAAUUCUUCUUAGCCAAUCAAACCAAAACUUUCUCAGAAAUUGGCUGGCAGGAAAAGAUUCCCUUGCUCCAUCCAUAGCAAGCAGUGGGCUAGCUGCUUAAACAGAGCAUUGAGAACUUGUGUUAAAAUAGAAAUUGUGUCUGCAGUGAUUUAAAAGUAUAUUUUCUACAAGUCUUGUCCAUUUAUUCAACUCCACUAAAGGAGUAAGAAGUCAUUCUCUUGUUUAAAUUAUUUCCUUCUGUUUGGAAAAAUAGUUAUCCAAGGAGACUAAUGGGACUUGCACUUCCUACUGUCUGGCCAGAAGUAGGCAUUUAGUGUGUCUUCAUUAUAGAGAAAUCUUGGAGGGCAAAUUACAUGAUAUACAAAAAGUGGUGUACAGCCUUUGAUAAGAGAGCAAUCUUUCAACAGAAAGGAUUGCCCUGAAGUUGCUAUCCAGACAAAAUGAAGGU
Molecule: long non-coding RNA, 3092 nt
Organism: Motacilla alba alba
Lineage: Eukaryota; Metazoa; Chordata; Aves; Passeriformes; Motacillidae
Exons: 3
Source: RefSeq, a predicted model, not a curated record